This 268-nucleotide ribosomal RNA is filed under the name uncultured eukaryote. Its description in RNAcentral is "partial small subunit ribosomal RNA". It matches the Rfam family "Eukaryotic small subunit ribosomal RNA", at positions 1161 to 1452 of the family's 1831-position model. The record is from RNAcentral.
AGGGCACCACCAGGAGUGGAGCCUGCGGCUUAAUUUGACUCAACACGGGGAAACUCACCAGGUCCAGACUUCUGUAGGAUUGACGCAUUGGCGAUGCUUCAUGAUUAGAAGGGUGGUGGUGCAUGGCCGUUCUUAGUUCGUGACGUAAGUUGUCUGCUUUAUUGCGAUAACGAGCGAGACCUCGGCCGCUAGUUGCCAGAGCCCACACUUUGUGGGUUUCUGGCUCUUAGCGGGACUACCGGAGACAAUUCGGGGGAGGUUCGAGGCA